ACGGGUGUGUAACGCGUGGGUAACCUACCCUGUACACACGGAUAACAUACCGAAAGGUAUGCUAAUACGGGAUAAUAUAUUUGAGAGGCAUCUCUUAAAUAUCAAAGGUGAGCCAGUACAGGAUGGACCCGCGUCUGAUUAGCUAGUUGGUAAGGUAACGGCUUACCAAGGCGACGAUCAGUAGCCGACCUGAGAGGGUGAUCGGCCACAUUGGAACUGAGACACGGUCCAAACUCCUACGGGAGGCAGCAGUGGGGAAUAUUGCACAAUGGGCGAAAGCCUGAUGCAGCAACGCCGCGUGAGUGAUGAAGGCCUUCGGGUCGUAAAACUCUGUCCUCAAGGAAGAUAAUGACGGUACUUGAGGAGGAAGCCCCGGCUAACUACGUGCCAGCAGCCGCGGUAAUACGUAGGGGGCUAGCGUUAUCCGGAUUUACUGGGCGUAAAGGGUGCGUAGGCGGUCUUUCAAGUCAGGAGUGAAAGGCUACGGCUCAACCGUAGUAAGCUCUUGAAACUGGGAGACUUGAGUGCAGGAGAGGAGAGUGGAAUUCCUAGUGUAGCGGUGAAAUGCGUAGAUAUUAGGAGGAACACCAGUUGCGAAGGCGGCUCUCUGGACUGUAACUGACGCUGAGGCACGAAAGCGUGGGGAGCAAACAGGAUUAGAUACCCUGGUAGUCCACGCUGUAAACGAUGAGUACUAGGUGUCGGGGGUUACCCCCUUCGGUGCCGCAGCUAACG
Molecule: ribosomal RNA, 735 nt
Filed under: uncultured bacterium
Lineage: Bacteria
Description: bacterial SSU rRNA
Rfam family: Bacterial small subunit ribosomal RNA
Source: RNAcentral